This 254-nucleotide ribosomal RNA is filed under the name uncultured bacterium. Its description in RNAcentral is "partial 16S ribosomal RNA". It matches the Rfam family "Bacterial small subunit ribosomal RNA", at positions 524 to 776 of the family's 1533-position model. The record is from RNAcentral.
CACGUAGGGGGCGAGCGUUGUCCGGAUUUAUUGGGCGUAAAGAGCUCGUAGGCGGCUCAGUAAGUCGGGUGUGAAAACUCCAGGCUCAACCUGGAGACGCCACCCGAUACUGCUGUGGCUAGAGUCCGGUAGGGGAGCAUGGAAUUCCUGGUGUAGCGGUGAAAUGCGUAGAUAUCGGGAGGAACACCAGUGGCGAAGGCGACUACCUGGCCUGUUCUUGACGCUGAGGCGCGAAAGCUAGGGGAGCAAACGGG